GCCUCAGUAACGGCGAGUGAAGCGGCAAUAGCUCAAAUUUGAAAUCUGACUCUUUCAGGGUCCGAGUUGUAAUUUGUAGAGGAUGUUUCGGCUUACGCCCCGGUCUAAGUUCCUUGGAACAGGACGUCACAGAGGGUGAGAAUCCCGUUUGUGGCCGGCGGCUUCCGCCAUGUGAAACUCCUUCGACGAGUCGAGUUGUUUGGGAAUGCAGCUCUAAAUGGGAGGUAAAUUUCUUCUAAAGCUAAAUACUGGCCAGAGACCGAUAGCGCACAAGUAGAGUGAUCGAAAGAUGAAAAGCACUUUGGAAAGAGAGUUAAAAAGUACGUGAAAUUGUUGAAAGGGAAGCGCUUGCGACCAGACUUGCCCGCGGAUGCUCAACCGGUCCUUCGGCCGGUGCACUCUUCCGCGGUCAGGCCAGCAUCAGUUCGGACGGUUGGAUAAAGGCCUUGGGAAUGUGGCUCUCUUCGGGGAGUGUUAUAGCCCUUGGUGCAAUACAGCCUGCCUGGACUGAGGCCCGCGCUUCGGCUAGGAUGCUGGCGUAAUGGUCGUAAGCGGCCCGUCUU
RNAcentral lists this ribosomal RNA (563 nucleotides) under Acanthostigmina scopula. Its description in RNAcentral is "eukaryotic LSU rRNA". It matches the Rfam family "Eukaryotic large subunit ribosomal RNA", at positions 77 to 655 of the family's 3401-position model. The record is from RNAcentral. Lineage: Eukaryota; Fungi; Ascomycota; Dothideomycetes; Tubeufiales; Tubeufiaceae.